GAUGGUUUUUUAGCACAUCAUCGAGGUGUC
RNAcentral lists this non-coding RNA (30 nucleotides) under Mus musculus (house mouse). The record is from RNAcentral. Lineage: Eukaryota; Metazoa; Chordata; Mammalia; Rodentia; Muridae.